Molecule: ribosomal RNA, 481 nt
Filed under: uncultured bacterium
Lineage: Bacteria
Description: partial 16S ribosomal RNA
Rfam family: Bacterial small subunit ribosomal RNA
Source: RNAcentral
GAUGAACGCUGGCGGCGUGCUUAACACAUGCAAGUCGAACGAAGCACUUUAUUUGAUUUCCUUCGGGACUGAUCAUUUUGUGACUGAGUGGCGGACGGGUGAGUAACGCGUGGGUAACCUGCCUUGUACAGGGGGAUAACAGUUGGAAACGGCUGCUAAUACCGCAUAAGCGCACAGCAUCGCAUGAUGCAGUGUGAAAAACUCCGGUGGUAUAAGAUGGACCCGCGUUGGAUUAGCUAGUUGGUGAGGUAACGGCCCACCAAGGCGACGAGCCAUAGCCGGCAUGUGAGGGUGACCGGCCACAUUGGCACUGGGACACGGCCCAAACUCCUACGGGAGGCAGCAGUGGGGAAUAUUGCACAAUGGGCGAAAGCAUGAUGCAGCGCCGCCGCGUGAGCGAAGAAGUAUUUCGGUAUGUAAAGCUCUAUCAGCAGGGAAGAUAAUGACGGUACCUGACUAAGAAGCGCCGGCUAAAUACGUG